Molecule: long non-coding RNA, 429 nt
Filed under: Amborella trichopoda
Lineage: Eukaryota; Viridiplantae; Streptophyta; Magnoliopsida; Amborellales; Amborellaceae
Description: long non-coding RNA (ATRI_LNC004407)
Source: RNAcentral
UAAAAUGUAAACUAAUAAGUAUAAUUUCAGUAUAUAAUAUUAUAAUUAGUGAGGUUGUAAUAAUUUUGGAUUAUAGUUAAUUAGGCUGUAAUAGUUUGAGUUUUUUUUUGCGGAUUAGGGUUUUUCGCCAAAAUGAGAUUUUAAUGGCCAUCCUUUCAUUGAUUAGUCUACUCUUUAUAAUAGUCCAUAUAUAAUUAUAUAUUUUAUCCAUGAUAAUUCUAUGAUUUUUCUUUUAUGUAAUGUAAAUUUAAUAGAUAGAAUAAGUUUAUACAGGGAAAGAGCAUCUCAAUAUUCACAAACUGAUAAAAAAAAAUGAAAGUUACUAAUGUAGUACCCUCAUUUUUUAUUGGAUUUCUAAAAAACAACAUUUAUAAUGAAUUUUAAUAAUUUUUUCGGAUUUUUUUGAAGUUUUAAUCCGACCGAUUCAGC